UACAGAGGGUGCAAGCGUUGUUCGGAAUUACUGGGCGUAAAGCGCGUGUAGGCUGCGAUGUAAGUCAGGUGUGAAAGCCCUCAGCUUAACUGAGGAAGUGCACUUGAUACUGUGUCGCUUGAGUGUCGGAGGGGGUGGCGGAAUUCCCGGUGUAGAGGUGAAAUUCGUAGAUAUCGGGAGGAACACCUGUGGCGAAGGCGGCGAUCUGGACGAUGACUGACGCUGAGACGCGAAAGCGUGGGGAGCAAACAGG
RNAcentral lists this ribosomal RNA (253 nucleotides) under uncultured bacterium. RNAcentral describes it as "partial 16S ribosomal RNA". It matches the Rfam family "Bacterial small subunit ribosomal RNA", at positions 524 to 776 of the family's 1533-position model. The record is from RNAcentral.